UUUAUGGAGAGUUUGAUCCUGGCUCAGGACGAACGCUGGCGGCGUGCCUAAUACAUGCAAGUCGAGCGGACUAAUGGGAGCUUGCUCCCAGAGGUUAGCGGCGAACGGGUGAGUAACACGUGGGCAACCUGCCCUGUAGACUGGGAUAACAUCGAGAAAUCGGUGCUAAUACCGGAUAAUAAUAGGAACUGCAUAGUUCUCAUUUAAAAGAUGGCUCCGGCUAUCACUACAGGAUGGGCCCGCGACGCAUUAGCUAGUUGGUAAGGUAACGGCUUACCAAGGCGACGAUGCGUAGCCGACCUGAGAGGGUGAUCGGCCACACUGGGAC
This 328-nucleotide ribosomal RNA is filed under the name Halalkalibacter suaedae. RNAcentral's name for it is "Bacillus suaedae Bacterial small subunit ribosomal RNA". It matches the Rfam family "Bacterial small subunit ribosomal RNA", at positions 1 to 319 of the family's 1533-position model. The record is from Rfam by way of RNAcentral. Lineage: Bacteria; Bacillati; Bacillota; Bacilli; Caryophanales; Bacillaceae.